This 94-nucleotide ribosomal RNA is filed under the name Cytobacillus firmus. RNAcentral describes it as "Bacillus firmus partial 23S ribosomal RNA". It matches the Rfam family "Bacterial large subunit ribosomal RNA", at positions 2831 to 2925 of the family's 2925-position model. RNAcentral also lists the same sequence under 1 other name. Lineage: Bacteria; Bacillati; Bacillota; Bacilli; Caryophanales; Bacillaceae. The record is from RNAcentral.
AGAUCCCUGAAAGAUGAUCAGGUUGAUAGGUCAGAGGUGGAAGCGUGGCGACAUGUGGAGCUGACUGAUACUAAUCGAUCGAGGACUUAACCAA